RNAcentral lists this ribosomal RNA (589 nucleotides) under uncultured bacterium. RNAcentral describes it as "partial 16S ribosomal RNA". It matches the Rfam family "Bacterial small subunit ribosomal RNA", at positions 355 to 1376 of the family's 1533-position model. The record is from RNAcentral.
UGGGGAAUUUUGGACAAUGGGCGCAAGCCUGAUCCAGCAAUGCCGCGUGUGUGAAGAAGGCCUUCGGGUUGUAAAGCACUUUUAUCAGGAGCGAAACGCUGUCGGCUAAUACCCGGCGGAACUGACGGUACCUGAGGAAUAAGCACCGGCUAACUUCGUGCCAGCAGCCGCGGUAAUACGAAGGGUGCAAGCGUUAAUCGGAAUUACUGGGCGUAAAGCGUGCGUAGGCGGUUUCUUAAGUCUGCUGUGAAAUCCCCGGGCUCAACCUGGGAAUGGCAGUGGAUACUGGGAGGCUAGAGUGUGUCAGAGGGUGGUGGAAUUCCCGGUGUAGCGGUGAAAUGCGUAGAGAUCGGGAGGAACAUCAGUGGCGAAGGCGGCCACCUGGGACAACACUGACGCUGAGGCACGAAAGCGUGGGGAGCAAACAGGAUUAGAUACCCUGGUAGUCCACGCCCUAAAGCGAUGCGAACUGGAUGUUGGUCUCAACUCGGAGAUCAGUGUCGAAGCUAACGCGUUAAGUUCGCCGCCUGGGGAGUACGGUCGCAAGACUGAAACUCAAAGGAAUUGACGGGGUCAUAGCUGUUUCCUG